RNAcentral lists this ribosomal RNA (2906 nucleotides) under Yersinia pestis biovar Antiqua str. UG05-0454. RNAcentral describes it as "bacterial LSU rRNA". It matches the Rfam family "Bacterial large subunit ribosomal RNA". Lineage: Bacteria; Pseudomonadati; Pseudomonadota; Gammaproteobacteria; Enterobacterales; Yersiniaceae. The record is from RNAcentral.
GGUUAAGCGACUAAGCGUACACGGUGGAUGCCUAGGCAGUCAGAGGCGAUGAAGGGCGUGCUAAUCUGCGAAAAGCGUCGGUAAGCUGAUAUGAAGCGUUAUAACCGACGAUACCCGAAUGGGGAAACCCAGUGCAAUACGUUGCACUAUCGUUAGAUGAAUACAUAGUCUAACGAGGCGAACCGGGGGAACUGAAACAUCUAAGUACCCCGAGGAAAAGAAAUCAACCGAGAUUCCCCCAGUAGCGGCGAGCGAACGGGGAGGAGCCCAGAGUCUGAAUCAGUUUGUGUGUUAGUGGAAGCGUCUGGAAAGUCGCACGGUACAGGGUGAUAGUCCCGUACACCAAAAUGCACAGGCUGUGAACUCGAUGAGUAGGGCGGGACACGUGACAUCCUGUCUGAAUAUGGGGGGACCAUCCUCCAAGGCUAAAUACUCCUGACUGACCGAUAGUGAACCAGUACCGUGAGGGAAAGGCGAAAAGAACCCCGGCGAGGGGAGUGAAAUAGAACCUGAAACCGUGUACGUACAAGCAGUGGGAGCACCUUCGUGGUGUGACUGCGUACCUUUUGUAUAAUGGGUCAGCGACUUAUAUUUUGUAGCAAGGUUAACCGAAUAGGGGAGCCGUAGGGAAACCGAGUCUUAACUGGGCGUCUAGUUGCAAGGUAUAGACCCGAAACCCGGUGAUCUAGCCAUGGGCAGGUUGAAGGUUGGGUAACACUAACUGGAGGACCGAACCGACUAAUGUUGAAAAAUUAGCGGAUGACUUGUGGCUGGGGGUGAAAGGCCAAUCAAACCGGGAGAUAGCUGGUUCUCCCCGAAAGCUAUUUAGUAGCGCCUCGUGAACUCAUCUUCGGGGGUAGAGCACUGUUUCGGCUAGGGGGCCAUCCCGGCUUACCAAACCGAUGCAAACUCCGAAUACCGAAGAAUGUUAUCACGGGAGACACACGGCGGGUGCUAACGUCCGUCGUGAAGAGGGAAACAACCCAGACCGCCAGCUAAGGUCCCAAAGUCAUGGUUAAGUGGGAAACGAUGUGGGAAGGCACAGACAGCCAGGAUGUUGGCUUAGAAGCAGCCAUCAUUUAAAGAAAGCGUAAUAGCUCACUGGUCGAGUCGGCCUGCGCGGAAGAUGUAACGGGGCUAAACCAUGCACCGAAGCUGCGGCAGCGACACUUAGGUGUUGUUGGGUAGGGGAGCGUUCUGUAAGCCGUUGAAGGUGACCUGUGAGGGUUGCUGGAGGUAUCAGAAGUGCGAAUGCUGACAUAAGUAACGAUAAUGCGGGUGAAAAACCCGCACGCCGGAAGACCAAGGGUUCCUGUCCAACGUUAAUCGGGGCAGGGUGAGUCGACCCCUAAGGCGAGGCUGAAAAGCGUAGUCGAUGGGAAACAGGUUAAUAUUCCUGUACUUGGUGUUACUGCGAAGGGGGGACGGAGAAGGCUAGGCUGGCCGGGCGACGGUUGUCCCGGUUUAAGCGUGUAGGGGGAGUGACCAGGUAAAUCCGGUUGCUUAUCAACCCUGAGGCGUGAUGACGAUGCACCACGGUGCAGAAGCAGUUGAUGCCAUGCUUCCAGGAAAAGCCUCUAAGCAUCAGGUAACAUUAAAUCGUACCCCAAACCGACACAGGUGGUCAGGUAGAGAAUACUCAGGCGCUUGAGAGAACUCGGGUGAAGGAACUAGGCAAAAUGGUGCCGUAACUUCGGGAGAAGGCACGCUGGCGUUAGGUGAAAGGACUAGCUCCUGGAGCUGAAGCCAGUCGCAGAUACCAGCUGGCUGCAACUGUUUAAUAAAAACACAGCACUGUGCAAACACGAAAGUGGACGUAUACGGUGUGACGCCUGCCCGGUGCUGGAAGGUUAAUUGAUGGGGUCAGCCGCAAGGCGAAGCUCUUGAUCGAAGCCCCAGUAAACGGCGGCCGUAACUAUAACGGUCCUAAGGUAGCGAAAUUCCUUGUCGGGUAAGUUCCGACCUGCACGAAUGGCGUAAUGAUGGCCAGGCUGUCUCCACCCGAGACUCAGUGAAAUUGAACUCGCUGUGAAGAUGCAGUGUACCCGCGGCAAGACGGAAAGACCCCGUGAACCUUUACUAUAGCUUGACACUGAACAUUGAGCCUUGAUGUGUAGGAUAGGUGGGAGGCCUUGAAGUGUGGACGCCAGUCUGCAUGGAGCCAACCUUGAAAUACCACCCUUUAAUGUUUGAUGUUCUAACUCGGCCCCAUGAUCUGGGGUGAGGACAGUGUCUGGUGGGUAGUUUGACUGGGGCGGUCUCCUCCCAAAGAGUAACGGAGGAGCACGAAGGUUAGCUAAUCACGGUCGGACAUCGUGAGGUUAGUGCAAAGGCAUAAGCUAGCUUGACUGCGAGAGUGACGGCUCGAGCAGGUACGAAAGUAGGUCUUAGUGAUCCGGUGGUUCUGAAUGGAAGGGCCAUCGCUCAACGGAUAAAAGGUACUCCGGGGAUAACAGGCUGAUACCGCCCAAGAGUUCAUAUCGACGGCGGUGUUUGGCACCUCGAUGUCGGCUCAUCACAUCCUGGGGCUGAAGUAGGUCCCAAGGGUAUGGCUGUUCGCCAUUUAAAGUGGUACGCGAGCUGGGUUUAGAACGUCGUGAGACAGUUCGGUCCCUAUCUGCCGUGGGCGUUGGAAGAUUGAGAGGGGCUGCUCCUAGUACGAGAGGACCGGAGUGGACGAAUCACUGGUGUUCGGGUUGUCAUGCCAAUGGCAUUGCCCGGUAGCUAAAUUCGGAAGAGAUAACCGCUGAAAGCAUCUAAGCGGGAAACUUGCCUCGAGAUGAGUCUUCCCUGGGGCUUAAAGCCCCCUGAAGGAACGUUAAAGACUAUGACGUUGAUAGGCUGGGUGUGUAAGUGCAGCGAUGUAUUGAGCUAACCAGUACUAAUGAUCCGUGAGGCUUAACCUU